AGUUAAUUAAGCUUUAGAUCAAGCAUUUAUUUUGAAAAUAAAAAAUGAUAGUUAAAUUCUAUCAUUAACUU
Molecule: transfer RNA, 71 nt
Filed under: Hygia sp.
Lineage: Eukaryota; Metazoa; Arthropoda; Insecta; Hemiptera; Coreidae
Description: tRNA-Ser
Rfam family: tRNA
About the family: Transfer RNA (tRNA) molecules are approximately 80 nucleotides in length.
Source: RNAcentral